UGGAAAAGCUUAAAACCCUACCCACCUCUCUUCUCUUCUUCUCAAGUAUCUUGCAAAUCCAAUUCUAAUUGACGGCCGACCAUCGUUCACAGGCGAGUUUGUGCUCUUUCUCUGGCAUCUUCUAAUUCUCCUCUUCUAUUGGAAAGGUGAUUUCAACGAGUUAGUGCAUUAGGCUCCUGAAUUGAUUUUUAUGUGACCUAUGCAAAAUUUUCACUGGUUUUUAUGCUUAUGAUUUAAUGGUUGAAGAAAAAAAAGAAGAAAGAAGACUUUCUUUGGCCUUUGAAAUUGUGAUGCAUAAUGUUCUAGGCAAUAGGCAUUGAAUAAGGAUUUCUCAAUUUACUCUUUCGAUAUAAAGGUUCUGGACAAAUAAUAAAUAAAAACCAAGUUUCUAGAGGUUGAAGAAAUGAAUCAGUGUAGAUGGGUUUCAAGGCAUGAUUGGAGGGAAUGGAUAGGGGAGAAUUGGACCUUGUGAGAGGUAAAAAGGUUAUUUCCUCAUUAGCUGGAAUAGGGGUUUGUGUGUUUGGCUUUGAUUAUUUUGUAACACAGAGUGUAUAUGUGUGUGGCCCUAAAUUUGAAAAAGAAAUACGACAAAAUGAUAAGAAGAUUAUGAUUAUUGUGUUUAUUAUAUUUUCAAUAAUGUUAUUAGUUGAUUUAAUAAAACUUUGUUAAAUUUAUAAUCUUUAUUGCAAAUUUUUAUUUACAUGGUAUUCAAUUCAAUGUCAACGAUUAUGGAGAGAUACUUUAAAAGGAAAGCUUCAUUUUUUAUUGGAGGUCAAAAUAUUGAUAGAAAAAAAAUCUAGCAAUGCCCGUGUGAUUGCUCAAGAUGAAAGGGAUAUUCAAGUUAAAAGUGAUAUUGGGAACGAACGUAAUAAUCGGGGUGAAGUGAUGUUGACCAUCAAAAUGAUGUUAUUCAGGAAGAAAGUGAAGUUGUUCGAGAUGAAAAUGAUGUUGUCCGGGAUGAAAUAAAUGUUCAGGGUAAAAUUAAUGUUGUACAACUUUCUAUAGAUCUUGGACUACGAAUUCCGAUUAUGGAAUAUCAUGUUAAUGUUCGAGACAAAGUUCGAAUAGAAUGUAUACAAAUGGGUCAUUGUCAGCUUUUCAAGCUCAAAUUUCCACAGAAAAAAUAUGGAAAAUCUUCAUUGAAGCAUUUUCAAUCUUCUCGAUUUUACGAGUUUCCUUCUUGGUUGGAGUAUAGUAGAGAGAAAUAUGCUACAUUUUGCUUUUACUGUUAUCUUUUUAAAUCAGGUGUGGAACAAGAAGGUGGUAACACUUUUUAUUGAGCGAGGGUUCUCAAAUUGGAAAAGUAAAGAAAAACUCCAAUAGCAUGUUGGAAAUCACAAUAGUGCACACAUUAAAGCUCGAAUUAAGUGCGAAGCUUUUAUAAAUCAAGAAAAAAAUUCAGGCUAUUUUCUUGAAAUAAUCACAACAAUCAUGACAUGAAUAGCGAAUUCAUUUGAGUGCAUCAAUUGAUUGUGUUCAAUUUCUUCUAAGACAAGGACUUGCAUUUUGUGGACCUGAUGAAUAUGAAGAUACAAAUAAUCAAGGAAAUUUUCUUGAAUUAUUACAUUUUUGGCUGAUCAUAAUGAGGAGAUUAAAGCUAUUACUUUCAAGAAUGCUCCUGAUAGUCUCAAAUUAACAUCAACUGACAUCCAAAAAGAUAUUGUAAGUGCUGCUACUUUUGAAACAAUCAGUGUUAUUAUCAAUGAUAUUGGUGAUUGUUUAUUUUCUAUUCUAGUUGAUGAAUCGCGUGACAUCUCAGUUAAGGAACAAAUGUCUAUUGUUUUUCAUUAUGUGAACAAGAAUGGAUGUGUAGUUGAAUGUUUUGUAGGCAUAGAGCAUGUUUUGAAUACCAUAGCUCUCUCCCUUAAAGUAGCUAUUGAUUGCUUAUUCUCUAGAUAUAAAUUAAGUAUAUCUCGCUUAAGAGGUUAAGGUUAUGAUGGAGCUAGUAAUAUGCAAGGUGAAUUUAAUGGUCUCAAAGCACUUAUUAAAAAGAAAACCCAAGUGCUUUCUACAUUCAUUGCUUCACUCAUCAACUUCAUCUAGCCUUUGUUGCUAUAACAAACAAGCAUGUAGAGAUUGAAGCUUUUUUUGAUUUGGUUGAUAGAGUGGUGAAUGUUGUUGUAGGAUCAGCUCAAUGAUGUGAUCUUCUUCAAGAGAAGCAAAGACUUCGAAUUGUUGAGGCAUUCAAUUACGGUGAAUUAUCAAGUUGACGAGGCCUUAAUCAACAAACUACCCUAAAAGGUGAUACACGUUGGAGUUCUCACUGUAAUUCUUUGAUUAACUUUAUUCAAAUGUUUUCACCUACAAUUGAUGUACUUGAAACAAUUGCUGAGGAU
This 2336-nucleotide long non-coding RNA is filed under the name Olea europaea subsp. europaea. The record is from RNAcentral. Lineage: Eukaryota; Viridiplantae; Streptophyta; Magnoliopsida; Lamiales; Oleaceae.